AUUGAACGCUGGCGGCAGGCCUAACACAUGCAAGUCGAGCGGUAGCACAGGGAGCUUGCUCCUGGGUGACGAGCGGCGGACGGGUGAGUAAUGUCUGGGAAACUGCCUGAUGGAGGGGGAUAACUACUGGAAACGGUAGCUAAUACCGCAUAACGUCGCAAGACCAAAGAGGGGGACCUUCGGGCCUCUUGCCAUCAGAUGUGCCCAGAUGGGAUUAGCUAGUAGGUGGGGUAACGGCUCACCUAGGCGACGAUCCCUAGCUGGUCUGAGAGGAUGACCAGGCACACUGGAACUGAGACACGGUCCAGACUCCUACGGGAGGCAGCAGUGGGGAAUAUUGCACAAUGGGCGCAAGCCUGAUGCAGCCAUGCCGCGUGUAUGAAGAAGGCCUUCGGGUUGUAAAGUACUUUCAGCGGGGAGGAAGGUGUUGAGGUUAAUAACCUCAGCAAUUGACGUUACCCGCAGAAGAAGCACCGGCUAACUCCGUGCCAGCAGCCGCCGUAA
Molecule: ribosomal RNA, 504 nt
Filed under: uncultured bacterium
Lineage: Bacteria
Description: partial 16S ribosomal RNA
Rfam family: Bacterial small subunit ribosomal RNA
Source: RNAcentral